This 631-nucleotide ribosomal RNA is filed under the name Papiliotrema terrestris. RNAcentral describes it as "eukaryotic LSU rRNA". It matches the Rfam family "Eukaryotic large subunit ribosomal RNA", at positions 49 to 664 of the family's 3401-position model. The record is from RNAcentral. Lineage: Eukaryota; Fungi; Basidiomycota; Tremellomycetes; Tremellales; Rhynchogastremaceae.
AGCGGAGGAAAAGAAACUAACAAGGAUUCCCCUAGUAACGGCGAGUGAACCGGGAAGAGCUCAAAUUUGAAAUCUGGCGUGCUCAGUGCGUCCGAGUUGUAAUCUAUAGAGGCGUUUUCCGUGCCGGACUGUGUCUAAGUCCCUUGGAACAGGGUAUCAAAGAGGGUGAUAAUCCCGUACUUGACACAAUGACCGGUGCUCUGUGAUACGUCUUCUACGAGUCGAGUUGUUUGGGAAUGCAGCUCAAAAUGGGUGGUGAGUUCCAUCUAAAGCUAAAUAUUGGCGAGAGACCGAUAGCGAACAAGUACCGUGAGGGAAAGAUGAAAAGCACUUUGGAAAGAGAGUUAAACAGUACGUGAAAUUGUUGAAAGGGAAACGAUUGAAGUCAGUCGUGACUGAGAGGCUCAGCCGGUUCUGCCGGUGUAUUCCCCUCAGUCGGGUCAACAUCAGUUUUGUUCGGUGGAUAAGGGCAGCUGGAAGGUGGCACCUCCGGGUGUGUUAUAGCCAGCUGUCGCAUACAUCGAAUGAGACUGAGGAAUGCAGCUCGCCUUUAUGGCCGGGGUUCGCCCACGUCCGAGCUUAGGAUGUAGACAUAAUGGCUUUAAACGACCCGUCUUGAAACACGGGACCA